UACGUAGGUGGCAAGCGUUGUCCGGAUUUACUGGGCGUAAAGAGCGCGCAGGCGGUCGAAUAAGUCGAAUGUGAAAGCCCCCGGCUUAACUGGGGAGGGUCAUUCGAUACUGCUCGACUUGAAGGCAGGAGAGGGUAGUGGAAUUCCCGGUGUAGUGGUGAGAUGCGUAGAUAUCGGGAGGAACACCAGUGGCGAAGGCGACUACCUGGCCUGUUCUUGACGCUGAGGCGCGAAAGCUAGGGUAGCAAACGGG
RNAcentral lists this ribosomal RNA (253 nucleotides) under uncultured bacterium. RNAcentral's name for it is "partial 16S ribosomal RNA". It matches the Rfam family "Bacterial small subunit ribosomal RNA", at positions 524 to 776 of the family's 1533-position model. The record is from RNAcentral.